UACAUGGGGUGCAAACGUUGCUCGGAAUUAUUGGGCGUAAAGCGCGCGUAGGCGGUUACUUAAGUCGGAUGUGAAAGCCCUCGGCUUAACUGAGGAAGUGCACCCGAAACUGAGUAGCUAGAGUACGAAAGAGGGUCGCGGAAUUCCCGGUGUAGAGGUGAAAUUCGUAGAUAUCGGGAGGAACACCGGUGGCGAAGGCGGCGACCUGGGUCGAGACUGACGCUGAGGCGCGAAAGCGUGGGGAGCAGACAGG
RNAcentral lists this ribosomal RNA (253 nucleotides) under uncultured bacterium. RNAcentral's name for it is "partial 16S ribosomal RNA". It matches the Rfam family "Bacterial small subunit ribosomal RNA", at positions 524 to 776 of the family's 1533-position model. The record is from RNAcentral.